UGAGUAACAAAUGUUGGUUGACAUCAUUAGGAUUUUCCUAAGGGCUUAUUUGUUUCAUCGAAACUUGAGUUUGGGUUGAAGAGAACUUUCGGUUAAAGCAGAGUUCAGAUGGAAACUAUUUCUCUCUCGCUGUUUAUUUUUCCAGCUCUACUGUUUGUAUGGCAAGGUGAGUCAAAAUCAAUUAAGCUAUUUCGGAUAACUUAAGUGUGAGACCUCAUGUAGUCUUAUAUAUAAAAUAUAGGGAUAAUUGCCUAUAUUCCCCUCAAAACUUCGAAAAUAUCUCAUUUGACCCUACUUGUUUUUUCUUUCCAAUAUACCCUUCAUACGUUUCCCCGUAUUCCAAAAUACCCCUAUAGUUAUCACCCGUUAAGUUAACUUGGGUUAAACGUAAAUUAAAUAUCUACCACAAUUAAAAAAAAUUAAAAUGCCAAUUUUGCCUUUAACUUAAGGGCAAAUAAGAAAUGUUGAUGACGGUAGAGGGGUAUAUUUGAAAAGACCAAAAGUCAAAAUAUUUUUUGUGUACCUGACUUAAAGGGCAGAUAAGAAAAGUCGGCGAUGGUGGAAGGGUAUAUUUGAAAGGGCAAAAUAGUAAUUUUAUACAGAUAACAGAGUUCAUUAACAAAUUUUAACUCUAGGAGUAUAUUUGAAAUAGGUUGGAACGUAAAAAGGGUAUUUUCAAUAUUAGCCUUCUAAGAGGAGUAAAUCAGAAAGUAGGAAACUUUUCAAGGGUAUAUAAGUAAUUGCCCCUAAAAUAUAAUAGGGCUAAAACUCUUAAUCCGGCUUAAGCAUGUUGAGUGGCGGCUAGGUCCAAAAUGUUAAGAGAGUUAAGCAUGUUAGGAUGGAAGUAAUUCUAUGAUGGGUGACCCCCUAGAAAGUUGGGGCGUCACAAUUUGUAUCAGAGCCAAUUACUAGCCGAAACUGUGAAAUGAAUCUCAGCUGCACCAGGAUUUUACAGCGGGGAGACUGAGACUCUCAUGCUGUUGACUGUUGUAGGUGGAGCGCAGUUCACCACAAGAUCGGUUUAGGCUAGCGAGACGAGUCUCACAUCGCCGAUACUUGUGAGUUUGAGACUGAUGAUGACGUCAGGGUUUAAAGAGGGGAGAUUGUGAAACCCCAAGUAGUCCUAUAUAUAAGAUAUAAUAACGUUAAAACUCUUAAAGAGCCAAUUACCAGUUGAAAGUGUGAAAAGAAUCUUAGCUACACCAAAAUUAUACAGCGGGGAGAGCGAGACUCUCAUGCUUUGGACUAUUGUGGGUGGAGGGCAGCUCACCACAAAAUCGGUUUAUGCUAGCGAGACGAGUCUCACAUCUCCUGGUACUUGUGAGUUUGAGACUGACGAGGACGUUAGGGCUUAAACGGGAGAGAUUGUGAAACUCCAGGUAGUCCUAUAUAUAAGAUAUAAUAGUGUUAAAACUUUUAAUCCGUCUUAAACAUUUUGGAUGGCAGCUAGGACGGGAGUAGUCCUAGGAUGGGUGGUAGAUAGGACGGGAGUAAUCCUAGAAUGGGUGAUCCCCUAAGAUGUUGGGUCGUCACAUUAUGUUUCGACGGUAUCUUUAUUACAGCAAACCAGGCAGAAGUGGUGAUCGUUUUCAUCCAAAAACAA
Molecule: long non-coding RNA, 1603 nt
Filed under: Ananas comosus (pineapple)
Lineage: Eukaryota; Viridiplantae; Streptophyta; Magnoliopsida; Poales; Bromeliaceae
Description: long non-coding RNA (ACOM_LNC016930)
Source: RNAcentral